GAUGAACGCUGGCGGCGUGCCUAAUACAUGCAAGUCGAGCGAACAGAUGAGGAGCUUGCUCCUCUGACGUUAGCGGCGGACGGGUGAGUAACACGUGGAUAACCUACCUAUAAGACUGGGAUAACUUCGGGAAACCGGAGCUAAUACCGGAUAAUAUAUUGAACCGCAUGGUUCAAUAGUGAAAGACGGUUUUGCUGUCCCUUAUAGAUGGAUCCGCGCCGCAUUAGCUAGUUGGUAAGGUAACGGCUUACCAAGGCAACAAUGCGUAGCCGACCUGAGAGGGUGAUCGGCCACACUGGAACUGAGACACGGUCCAGGCUCCUACGGGAGGCAGCAGUAGGGAAUCUUCCGCAAUGGGCGAAAGCCUGACGGAGCAACGCCGCGUGAGUGAUGAAGGUCUUCGGAUCGUAAAACUCUGUUAUUAGGGAAGAACAAAUGUGUAAGUAACUAUGCACGUCUUGACGGUACCUAAUCAGAAAGCCACGGCUAACUACGUG
Molecule: ribosomal RNA, 497 nt
Filed under: uncultured bacterium
Lineage: Bacteria
Description: partial 16S ribosomal RNA
Rfam family: Bacterial small subunit ribosomal RNA
Source: RNAcentral